This 1157-nucleotide ribosomal RNA is filed under the name Halomonas daqiaonensis. RNAcentral describes it as "bacterial LSU rRNA". It matches the Rfam family "Bacterial large subunit ribosomal RNA", at positions 1 to 1207 of the family's 2925-position model. The record is from RNAcentral. Lineage: Bacteria; Pseudomonadati; Pseudomonadota; Gammaproteobacteria; Oceanospirillales; Halomonadaceae.
UAUGGUCAAGCGAUGAAGCGCAUACGGUGGAUGCCUAGGCAGCCAGAGGCGAUGAAAGACGUGGAAGCCUGCGAUAAGGCUCGGCGAGGUGGCAAACGACCUGUGACCCGGGCAUUUCUGAAUGGGGAAACCCACCCACGGUAACGUGGGUAUCCCACCCUGAAUCCAUAGGGGUUGGGAGGCGAACCGGGGGAACUGAAACAUCUCAGUACCCCGAGGAAAAGAAAUCAACCGAGAUUCCCCCAGUAGCGGCGAGCGAACGGGGAGCAGCCCUUAAGCGUGUGACCGAUUAGGCGAAUGGCCUGGGAAGGCCAGCCAUAGCGGGUGAUAGCCCCGUAGCCGAAAAUCUGAUCACGUGAAAUCGAGUAGGUCGGGGCACGAGAAACCUUGACUGAAGACGGGGGGACCAUCCUCCAAGGCUAAAUACUCCUGGCUGACCGAUAGUGAACCAGUACCGUGAGGGAAAGGCGAAAAGAACCCCGGAGAGGGGAGUGAAAUAGAUCCUGAAACCGUAUGCGUACAAGCAGUGGGAGCAUGCAUGUCAUGUGACCGCGUACCUUUUGUAUAAUGGGUCAGCGACUUAUUUUCAGUGGCGAGCUUAACCGAUUAGGGGAGGCGUAGGGAAACCGAGUCUUAACUGGGCGACCAGUCGCUGGGAAUAGACCCGAAACCGGGCGAUCUAUCCAUGAGCAGGUUGAAGGUUGAGUAACAUCAACUGGAGGACCGAACCAGGAUCUGUUGAAAAAGAUUUGGAUGACUUGUGGAUCGGAGUGAAAGGCUAAUCAAGCCCGGAGAUAGCUGGUUCUCCUCGAAAGCUAUUUAGGUAGCGCCUCACGUAGCACCGCCGGGGGUAGAGCACUGUUUCGGCUAGGGGGUCAUCCCGACUUACCAACCCGAGGCAAACUCCGAAUACCGGUGAGUGACGCGUGGGAGACACACAGCGGGUGCUAACGUCCGUUGUGAAAAGGGAAACAACCCAGACCGUCAGCUAAGGUCCCGAAAUCCUGGUUAAGUGGGAAACGAUGUGGGAAGGCUCAGACAGCUAGGAGGUUGGCUUAGAAGCAGCCAUCCUUUAAAGAAAGCGUAAUAGCUCACUAGUCGAGUCGGCCUGCGCGGAAGAUGUAACGGGGCUCAAACCAGGUACCGAAGCUACGGGU